UAGAACAUGGCUGAUAAGAAUCUUCUCAGGUUCAUGAUAUGAUAAUGUCAAUCUUAUAUUUAAUCUCUGUAAACUUUCCUUUAAGCUUUUUUCUUGACUGCCCACAUCAGUGUUGACAGGUGGGUGGGGAAAUGAUUACUUCAGACAUAAAUACGGUCUCUGUGAAACAGAAAUAAAACAGUUGCUUUCAAAGAGUUGAAGAGGUGCUUAAAGGCAAGACAAAGCUAGUGCGCCUGUCACUGGACCAAAUAAUCAUCUCCAACAAUGCCCUGUUCUCGUUGCAAAUUGGAACUAUAUAAAAAACAUACAUAUUGCUCUGUAUGUCGGAAAUUUGGACCAUGCAUUCAUUUCUGUCGGUGUGGGAACAAUCAACUACAGGUGUGCAACCAAUUUCUCGACACCGUGAGGUCCAUGGAGACUCAAGCUGAUGGUUUUAGGGCUUACCGUCACGAAAACGAGCAAGGCCUUCAGUUACUUUUAGUCCAACACAAAGACGGUCCAGAUACUUGGCAAUACAUGUAUCAACCUCCACGCUAAUACAUUUCUGUAGUCAUGAAAUUGUAUGUCAUGACAAAUCUUAAUGAUUUACAGCUUAAGAAAUCAACUGACUUAAAUCAAAGACAACAAAUUUGUUUUGGGGUGCAAACUUUAUGCUAACAGUUUUAUUUUAUGUACUUUGUAAUUAGUAAUUGCUAGAUUGUUUAAACUUUUAGUCACAUAGUUUAACUAAUUUCAUUUUAUGAUUGUGUGAGGGCUGAUAUAGUGGCUGUGUAUCCUCUUUCU
This is a long non-coding RNA of Misgurnus anguillicaudatus (oriental weatherfish), 783 nucleotides long. RefSeq lists it as uncharacterized. The record is from RefSeq and is a predicted model, not a curated record. Lineage: Eukaryota; Metazoa; Chordata; Actinopteri; Cypriniformes; Cobitidae.